GCGAGCAUCAUAGCGGAGGAAGAAACCAACAGGGAUUGCCCUAGUAACGGCGAGUGAAGCGGCAACAGCUCAAAUUUGAAAUCUGGCGCAAGCCCGAAUUGUAAUUUGUAGAGGAUGCUUCUGGGCAGCGGCCGUUCUAAGUUCCUUGGAACAGGACGUCAUAGAGGGUGAGAAUCCCGUAUGUGACCGGCGCGCACCCUCCACGUAGCUCCUUCGACGAGUCGAGUUGUUUGGGAAUGCAGCUCUAAAUGGGAGGUAAAUUUCUUCUAAAGCUAAAUACCGGCCAGAGACCGAUAGCGCACAAGUAGAGUGAUCGAAAGAUGAAAAGCACUUUGGAAAGAGAGUUAAAAAGCACGUGAAAUUGUUGAAAGGGAAGCGCUCACAACCAGACUUCGUGGCGGUGUUCCGCCGGUCUUCUGACCGGUCUACUCGCCGCCGCGAGGCCAACAUCAUCUGGGGCCGCUGGAUAAGACCGUAGGAAUGUAGCUCCCCUCGGGGAGUGUUAUAGCCUGCGGUGAUGCAGCGAGCCUCGGGUGAGGUCCGCACUUCGGUAAGGAUGUUGGCGUAAUGGUUGUCAGCGGCCCGUCUUGAAACACGGACCAAGGAGUCUAACAUCUAUGCAAGUGUUCGGGUGUCAAACCCCUACGCGUAAUGAAAGUGAACGGAGGUGGGAACGCAAGUGCACCAUCGACCGAUCCUGAUGUCCUCGGAUGGAUUUGAGUAAGAGCAUAGCUGUUGGGACCCGAAAGAUGGUGAACUAUGCCUGAAUAGGGUGAAGCCAGAGGAAACUCUGGUGGAGGCUCGCAGCGGUUCUGACGUGCAAAUCGAUCGUCAAAUUUGGGUAUAGGGGCGAAAGACUAAUCGAACCAUCUAUGUC
Molecule: ribosomal RNA, 877 nt
Filed under: Xenosonderhenia coussapoae
Lineage: Eukaryota; Fungi; Ascomycota; Dothideomycetes; Mycosphaerellales; Mycosphaerellaceae
Description: partial large subunit ribosomal RNA
Rfam family: Eukaryotic large subunit ribosomal RNA
Source: RNAcentral